CACGUAGGGUGCGAGCGUUGUCCGGAUUUAUUGGGCGUAAAGAGCGUGUAGGCGGCCAUACAGGUCAGCUGUGAAAACUCGAGGCUCAACCUCGAGACGUCGGUUGAAACCGUAUGGCUAGAGUCCGGAAGAGGAGAGUGGAAUUCCCGGUGUAGCGGUGAAAUGCGCAGAUAUCGGGAAGAACACCCGUGGCGAAGGCGGCUCUCUGGGACGGUGCUGACGCUGAGACGCGAAAGCGUGGGGAGCGAACAGG
This 253-nucleotide ribosomal RNA is filed under the name uncultured bacterium. RNAcentral describes it as "partial 16S ribosomal RNA". It matches the Rfam family "Bacterial small subunit ribosomal RNA", at positions 524 to 776 of the family's 1533-position model. The record is from RNAcentral.